UGGGGAAUUUUGGACAAUGGGGGCAACCCUGAUCCAGCAAUGCCGCGUGUGUGAAGAAGGCCUUCGGGUUGUAAAGCACUUUUGUCCGGGAAGAAAUCGCACCUGAUAAUACCGGGUGUGGAUGACGGUACCGGAAGAAUAAGGACCGGCUAACUACGUGCCAGCAGCCGCGGUAAUACGUAGGGUCCAAGCGUUAAUCGGAAUUACUGGGCGUAAAGCGUGCGCAGGCGGUUGUGCAAGACCGAUGUGAAAUCCCCGGGCUUAACCUGGGAAUUGAAUUGGUGACUGCACGGCUAGAGUGUGUCAGAGGAGGGUAGAAUUCCACGUGUAGCAGUGAAAUGCGUAGAGAUGUGGAGGAAUACCGAUGGCGAAGGCAGCCCCCUGGGAUAACACUGACGCUCAUGCACGAAAGCGUGGGGAGCAAACAGG
This 429-nucleotide ribosomal RNA is filed under the name bacterium. RNAcentral describes it as "partial 16S ribosomal RNA". It matches the Rfam family "Bacterial small subunit ribosomal RNA", at positions 355 to 776 of the family's 1533-position model. The record is from RNAcentral.